Tympanuchus pallidicinctus (lesser prairie-chicken) is the source of this 696-nucleotide long non-coding RNA. RefSeq lists it as uncharacterized. The record is from RefSeq and is a predicted model, not a curated record. Lineage: Eukaryota; Metazoa; Chordata; Aves; Galliformes; Phasianidae. The transcript has 2 exons.
AAGUUCUCAAGGGCAUACAGAUAACUGCAGGAAAUAGCCUUAGUUAAGCAAAACUGUUCACUUCAUUGCUCGUUCCACAACUCUGAGAAGUCUCUGUAUGCUAUGUAGUGAGAGAUAAGUUCAGAGUUAUAUUUGAUUUAGUAAAGCUUUAGUAGCUACUUUAACCAUAAUAAUCAAUAUCAAGGAACGUAAGGCAGCAAAAGCCUUUUAUACGCUUGAUAAGUGGAGGAAUUGUCAGCAUAACUAUUUAGCCUGUGACAAAAAUAAGAAUCAUAGAAUCACAAGGUUGUAAAGGACCUAUAAGAUCAUCUAGUCCAACCAUCCUCCCAUUACCCUUGCUACCACAAGCACUAAACCACAUCUCGCAGCUCCUCAUCCAGGCGCCUCUUGAACACUGCCAGGGACGGCGACUCCACCACCUCCCUGGGCAGCCAUUGCAGUGCCUGACCACUCUCUGAGAGAAAAAUUCUUCCUUAUGUCCAACCUAAACCUCCUCUGGUACAACUUGUGACCAUUUCCUCGGGUCCUGUUUGUUGCCUGGGAGAAGAGGCCAAACCCCUCCUCACUACAACCUCCCUUCAGGAAGUUGUAGAGUGCAAUGAGGUCUCCCCUGAGCCUCCUCUUCUCCACACUGAACAAUCCCAGCUCCCUCAGCCGCUCCUCAUAAGACUUGUGCUCCAGACCCCUCACCAGUUU